GAUGAAGAACGUAGUGAAAUGCGAUAAGUAAUGUGAAUUGCAGAAUUCAGUGAAUCAUCGAAUCUUUGAACGCACAUUGCGCCCGCCAGUAUUCUGGCGGGCAUGCCUGUUCGAGCGUCAUUUCAACCCUCAAGCCCAGCUUGGUGUUGGGGAUCGGCACAGGCGCCAUCGGGCGCCCGCCGUCCCCUAAAUCUAGUGGCGGUCCCGCUGCAGCCUCCUCUGCGUAGUAGUUUUCUCCUCGCAAGGGCAGCUCGGUGGCGACCUCGCCGUAAAACCCCCAACUUCUGAAAGGUUGACCUCGAAUCAGGUAGGAAUACCCGCUGAACUUAAGCAUAUCAAUAAGCGGAGGA
RNAcentral lists this unclassified non-coding RNA (350 nucleotides) under soil metagenome. RNAcentral describes it as "partial contains 5.8S ribosomal RNA, internal transcribed spacer 2, and large subunit ribosomal RNA". The stretch from base 1 to 120 matches the Rfam family "5.8S ribosomal RNA", at positions 35 to 154 of the family's 154-position model. The record is from RNAcentral.